GACGAACGCUGGCGGCGUGCUUAACACAUGCAAGUCGAGCGGUAAGGCCCUUUCGGGGGUACACGAGCGGCGAACGGGUGAGUAACACGUGGGUGACCUGCCCUCAGCUCUGGGAUAAGCCUGGGAAACCGGGUCUAAUACUGGAUAUGACUCCAUGACGCAUGUUGGUGGGGUGGAAAGCCUUGUGCGGCUGAGGAUGGGCCCGCGGCCUAUCAGCUUGUUGGUGGGGUGAGGCCUACCAAGGCGACGACGGGUAGCCGGCCUGAGAGGGCGACCGGCCACACUGGGACUGAGACACGGCCCAGACUCCUACGGGAGGCAGCAGUGGGGAAUCUUGCGCAAUGGGCGAAAGCCUGACGCAGCGACGCCGCGUGAGGGAUGACGGCCUGGUU
RNAcentral lists this ribosomal RNA (392 nucleotides) under uncultured bacterium. Its description in RNAcentral is "bacterial SSU rRNA". It matches the Rfam family "Bacterial small subunit ribosomal RNA", at positions 28 to 424 of the family's 1533-position model. The record is from RNAcentral.